This is a small nuclear RNA of Peromyscus californicus insignis, 107 nucleotides long. Lineage: Eukaryota; Metazoa; Chordata; Mammalia; Rodentia; Cricetidae. The record is from RefSeq and is a predicted model, not a curated record.
GUGCUCGCUUUGGCAGCACGUAUACUAAAAUUGGAACAAUAUAGAAAAGAUUAGCGGGACCCCUGCACAAGGACGACACGCAAAUUCGUGAAGCACUCCAUAUUUUU